ACUCAAAUGAAUUGACGGGGACCCGCACAACCAGUGGAGCGUGUGGUUCAAUUUGAGACUAAGCAAAAAACCUCACCAGGGCUUGACAUGCUAUCGUACAGUCCGCUGGAAACAGUGGAUAAUCCGCAAGGAUGAUAGCACAGGUGGUGCAUGGCUAUCGUCAGCUCGUGCCGUGAGGUGUUCCAUUAAGUUGGGAAACGAGCGCAACCCGCAUCCAAUGUUAAAUAUUCAUUGGGGACUGUCACAGUUUUUCUGUGGAGGAAGGCGCGGAAGACGUUAAGUCCGCAUGCUCCUUAUGCCCUGGGCUACACACACCCUACAAUGGCGAAGAACAAUGAGUUGCAAGCUAGUAAUGGCAAGCUAAUCUCAGAAAUUUCGCCUCAGUUCAGAUUGAGGGCUGCAACUCGCCCUCAUGAAGUUGGAAUUGGUAGUAAUCGCGAAUCAGCAGGUCGCGGUGAAUACGUUCUCGGGUCUUGUACACACCGCCCGU
RNAcentral lists this ribosomal RNA (490 nucleotides) under uncultured bacterium. RNAcentral's name for it is "partial 16S ribosomal RNA". It matches the Rfam family "Bacterial small subunit ribosomal RNA", at positions 899 to 1397 of the family's 1533-position model. The record is from RNAcentral.